Molecule: ribosomal RNA, 433 nt
Filed under: uncultured bacterium
Lineage: Bacteria
Description: partial 16S ribosomal RNA
Rfam family: Bacterial small subunit ribosomal RNA
Source: RNAcentral
AACGAACGCUGGCGGCAUGCCUAACACAUGCAAGUCGAACGAGACCUUCGGGUCUAGUGGCGCACGGGUGCGUAACGCGUGGGAACCUGCCCUUAGGUUCGGAAUAACUCCCCGAAAGGGGUGCUAAUACCGGAUAAUGUCUUCGGACCAAAGAUUUAUCGCCUUUGGAUGGGCCCGCGUUGGAUUAGCUAGUUGGUAGGGUAAAAGCCUACCAAGGCGACGAUCCAUAGCUGGUCUGAGAGGAUGAUCAGCCACACUGGGACUGAGACACGGCCCAGACUCCUACGGGAGGCAGCAGUGGGGAAUAUUGGACAAUGGGCGAAAGCCUGAUCCAGCAAUGCCGCGUGAGUGAUGAAGGCCUUAGGGUUGUAAAGCUCUUUUACCCGGGAUGAUAAUGACGGUACCGGGAGAAUAAGCGCCGGCCAACUCCGUG